RNAcentral lists this ribosomal RNA (506 nucleotides) under uncultured bacterium. RNAcentral's name for it is "partial 16S ribosomal RNA". It matches the Rfam family "Bacterial small subunit ribosomal RNA", at positions 29 to 523 of the family's 1533-position model. The record is from RNAcentral.
AGUGAACGCUGGCGGUAGGCCUAACACAUGCAAGUCGAACGGCAGCACAGAGGAGCUUGCUCCUUGGGUGGCGAGUGGCGGACGGGUGAGGAAUACAUCGGAAUCUACUCUGUCGUGAGGGAUAACGUAGGGAAACUUACGCUAAUACCGCAUACGAACUACGGGUGAAAGCAGGGGACCUUCGGGCCUUGCGCGAUUGAAUGAGCCGAUGUCGGAUUAGCUAGUUGGCGGGGUAAAGGCCCACCAAGGCGACGAUCCGUAGCUGGUCUGAGAGGAUGAUCAGCCACACUGGAACUGAGACACGGUCCAGACUCCUACGGGAGGCAGCAGUGGGGAAUAUUGGACAAUGGGCGCAAGCCUGAUCCAGCCAUACCGCGUGGGUGAAGAAGGCCUUCGGGUUGUAAAGCCCUUUUGUUGGGAAAGAAAUCCAGCUGGCUAAUACCCGGUUGGGAUGACGGUACCCAAAGAAUAAGCACCGGCUAACUUCGUGCCAGCAGCCGCAGUAA